Molecule: ribosomal RNA, 429 nt
Filed under: Pseudomonadota bacterium
Lineage: Bacteria; Pseudomonadati; Pseudomonadota
Description: Proteobacteria bacterium partial 16S ribosomal RNA
Rfam family: Bacterial small subunit ribosomal RNA
Source: RNAcentral
UGGGGAAUAUUGGACAAUGGGCGAAAGCCUGAUCCAGCCAUUCCGCGUGUGUGAAGAAGGUCUUCGGAUUGUAAAGCACUUUAAGUUGGGAGGAAGGGCAGUAAGCGAAUACCUUGCUGUUUUGACGUUACCGACAGAAUAAGCACCGGCUAACUCUGUGCCAGCAGCCGCGGUAAUACAGAGGGUGCAAGCGUUAAUCGGAAUUACUGGGCGUAAAGCGCGCGUAGGUGGUUCGUUAAGUUGAAUGUGAAAGCCCCGGGCUCAACCUGGGAACUGCAUCCAAAACUGGCGAGCUAGAGUAGGGCAGAGGGUGGUGGAAUUUCCUGUGUAGCGGUGAAAUGCGUAGAUAUAGGAAGGAACACCAGUGGCGAAGGCGACCACCUGGGCUCAUACUGACACUGAGGUGCGAAAGCGUGGGGAGCAAACAGG